AACGAACGCUGGCGGCGUGUCUUAAGCAUGCAAGUCGUGCGGCAAGGCGGGGCAACCUGCCCUAGAGCGGCGGACUGGUGAGUAACGCGUGGGUGAUCUGCCCUUGGGAUGGGGAUAGACUCUAGAAAUAGAGGGUAAUACCGAAUACGUUCGGCGGGGUAAGCCCGUCGAGGAAAAGCGCUUCGGCGCUGCCCGAGGAUGAGCCCGGGUCCCAUUAGCUAGUUGGUGAGGUAACGGCCCACCAAGGCUAGGUUGGGUAGCCGGCCAGAGAGGGUGUACGGCCACACUGGGACUGAGAUACGGCCCAGACUCCUACGGGAGGCAGCAGCUAAGAAUAUUCCGCAAUGGACGAAAGUCUGACGGAGCGACGCCGCGUGGAUGACGAAGGCCGAAAGGUUGUAAAGUCCUUUUGUUGGGGAGGAAUAACCAUGGGAGGGAAUGCCCGUGGGAUGACAUGAACCGACGAAUAAGCCCCGGCUAACUACGUGCCAGCAGCCGCGGUAA
This 504-nucleotide ribosomal RNA is filed under the name uncultured bacterium. RNAcentral's name for it is "partial 16S ribosomal RNA". It matches the Rfam family "Bacterial small subunit ribosomal RNA", at positions 29 to 523 of the family's 1533-position model. The record is from RNAcentral.